AUACGUAGGGGGCGAGCGUUGCCCGGAAUUACUGGGCGUAAAGGGAACGUAGGUGGCUCUUAAAGUCAGGUGUGAAAAUAACGAAGCUUAACAGGUUAAUGCGCUUGAAACUAAAGGGCUUGAGGGCAAUAGAGGGAGAUGGAAUUACCUGUGUAGGGGUGAAAUCCGCAGAUAUAGGUAAGAAGGCCGGUGGGGAAGCCGAUCUCCUGGGUUGACUCUGACACUGAGGUUCGAAAGCUAGGGGAGC
This 247-nucleotide ribosomal RNA is filed under the name uncultured bacterium. Its description in RNAcentral is "partial 16S ribosomal RNA". It matches the Rfam family "Bacterial small subunit ribosomal RNA", at positions 523 to 769 of the family's 1533-position model. The record is from RNAcentral.